This is a long non-coding RNA of Bombus terrestris (buff-tailed bumblebee), 1995 nucleotides long. RefSeq lists it as uncharacterized. The transcript is spliced from 3 exons. NCBI's taxonomy places the organism in Eukaryota, Metazoa, Arthropoda, Insecta, Hymenoptera, Apidae. The record is from RefSeq and is a predicted model, not a curated record.
AUCUCCACCAAUUAAAAGUUCGCGUAGUGACGCCAUGAUGAGGGGCAUCAGUCAGAUAUCGAAAAUCGGACCGAUAAGACGUAUUGUUUUGCUCAUGGUACAUAACGUAACCUAAAGUAACUUAUUAAAUAUUUAAGUGUUACUUCCUUUGUUAUUUCGUUACGAGUGUAUUUUAUUAUAUAUUAAUACGCUUCAUUAAAACGCGUUUAUUUGCUACUUUAUGGAACAUUAUUAUAAAAAAGUCAGUCACUCGACCUUUUUUCGUUCUUCGGUCAUAGAUCGUUUAUUUGGAGGUCAGAAUUCUACUUUCGAGACAAGAUUCGAAUGAGAUUAUUAUUUUAUAUUAAUGUAAUUGGUAUCGACAUUCGUCUUCAAUUCUUGAUUUUCUUGCAUAAAGAUUAUUGCUGACAUGGAUGAUAUAAGGACUUAAUGUAAGAACGUUAUGGUGAUUAACAGCCUGAUGCUUUUUCAUGGAGGUUUAAUAAUGUUAAAUUUAUUUUAAUAUAUUCAGAUAUACGUUUUCAUGCAUACAUACAUACAUAUGUCUGUCAAAUCAGUCACACAUCACACAAUCACUUAAUAUGUAAGAUAACUAAUUAUCAUAAAUAAUUACAUAGUUUAUUAAAAAUACCAAGAUGAAGUUAGAAAAGAUUCCAGGAACGUUUCUUUGCAUUAAUUUUAGUGUUAAUAUUAAUUAAUUAUCAUUAAUUCAUUUCCUUAUAUUAAGUAGAUUAAACGUAUUAUUUUAUUGUUCCAACUUAUAUUGUGGAAUUUUUAAUAUGUAAUUUGAAAAUGACUCGACUAAGAAAUUGAAAUAACCUUCACAUUUCCAUUUACGUUUCGGUGACGUUUUGGUUGUAAAUUACCUAGUAACAUGGUACGUAAAUAUUAUACAUAACCUUUUUCUGCCAUGGUUGGGAGGAAGCGCGAUAACAUGGAUUUCGAAAUAAGGUUAGACGCGAGUUUGUGUGAUGUCAAUAUGCUCAAGCAUAUUUAGUUCAGGAAUUUUUAGUGUUUUACAAGUAUUUUCGCAUAUCUAUAAAACAUUACGUAGUUUAUUCUUACAAAAUGUGCUUUUCUUUGGCAAGGAACAUUCACGAUAUAAUUUUUGCAAAUCAGUUCAAUUAUAUUUAUUAAAUCUAACCCCUAUCGACUAUUUUAGUUUUAUUUUCAGAAAAUUUUUGUGAUCACUCGCAAUGCGAUCAGUAGAGUCAGUGCUUCUUGCGCAAUAAGUUCUUAAAUAUUUUUCAGAGUGCAAUAGCUCAAUUAAAUUAUAUAAUUAUUAAUUAUAAUGAUAACACGCGAUAUUAAAGUCUUUGUUCGUCGAUUACAAAGUAAACCGAACGGACGAGCUUGUAGUCUUUUAUUUUUCUUUUUUUUUUUUUCAUACAUAUCUUUUUUUGAUAUUCGUUUUCGGUAUUAGAGUCAGUGUUUUCUCAAGAGGAUAAAAUCUCUCGAAGAUACAAGAAUAUAGGCCCCGGCUAGCCGCCCGACACCUGUUGAAACGCGUGCACCGCGUUCUCCUGUUGUUAGCCAAUAUCACAGAAACAAAUUGCUAGGCGUUGGGUCUACACGAGCAAUGCCUGUGUGGCGUACCUUGGCGAAGAUUGAUACAACGUUGGAUGGAAACGUUGGCGACUCUUGCGCGCCAACGUUAAUCCGCGUGGGUGGUUUCAUGAAAGAGGAACACUCUAACUGCGAAGAUCAGAAGCGUAAUCGGUGGUGGAGUCCACGCACGACGCAAAAAGGGAACUUUUUUGCCGCGGCCAGGGCACGCCAACUCCGUCGCAAUUUCCAUUCCCAGCAAAUGAUCCGUGGCAAGAAAUCUCUGUUGAUCUCUCUGGAGCCGGCGGAUAAAGAAAUUAAAAAGUUUGCUCGUAAUCUGGGAAAGCAAGAAGAAUGGACGGAAGACGGAAGAAGGAGGGUUUCUACGUGGACCAAGGAGAAGUGGACAUGACCGAAGAUUGCCACACAGGAGGCUGCGUAGAUAAGGGC